UGAUUCAUGACGGUAUCAACAGAAGAAGCACCGGCUAACUACGUGCCAGCAGCCGCGGUAAUACGUAGGGUGCAAGCGUUAAUCGGAAUUACUGGGCGUAAAGGGUGCGCAGGCGGUUCUGUAAGUCAGAUGUGAAAUCCCCGGGCUUAACCUGGGAACUGCGUUUGAAACUGCAGAGCUAGAGUGCGGCAGAGGGAGGUGGAAUUCCAUGUGUAGCAGUGAAAUGCGUAGAGAUAUGGAAGAACAUCGAUGGCGAAGGCAACCUCCUGGGCUAGCACUGACGCUCAUGCACGAAAGCGUGGGGAGCAAACAGGAUUAGAUACCCUGGUAGUCCACGCCCUAAACUAUGUCAACUAGUUGUCGGGUCUUAUUAGACUUGGUAACGUAGCUAACGCGUGAAGUUGACCGCCUGGGGAGUACGGUCGCAAGAUUAAAACUCAAAGGAAUUGAC
RNAcentral lists this ribosomal RNA (451 nucleotides) under uncultured bacterium. RNAcentral describes it as "bacterial SSU rRNA". It matches the Rfam family "Bacterial small subunit ribosomal RNA", at positions 463 to 914 of the family's 1533-position model. The record is from RNAcentral.